GACGAACGCUGGCGGCGUGCUUAACACAUGCAAGUCGAACGGAGAGGCCCUGCUUUUGCGGGGUGCUCGAGUGGCGAACGGGUGAGUAACACGUGAGUAACCUGCCCUUGCCUUUGGGAUAACUUCAGGAAACUGGGGCUAAUACCGGAUAUGAGCUCCUGCUGCAUGGUGUGGGUUGGAAAGUUUCGGCGGUUGGGGAUGGACUCGCGGCUUAUCAGCUUGUUGGUGGGGUAGUGGCUUACCAAGGCUUUGACGGGUAGCCGGCCUGAGAGGGUGACCGGCCACAUUGGGACUGCGAUACGGCCCAGAAUCCUACGGGAGGCAGCAGUGGGGAGUGUUGCCCAAUGGGCGGAAGCCUGAUGCAGCAACGCCGCGUGCGGGAUGACGGCCUUCGGGUUGUAAACCGCUUUCGACUGUGACGAAGCGUGGGUGACGGUAAUGGGUAAAGAAGCACCGGCUAACUACGUG
RNAcentral lists this ribosomal RNA (468 nucleotides) under uncultured bacterium. RNAcentral describes it as "partial 16S ribosomal RNA". It matches the Rfam family "Bacterial small subunit ribosomal RNA", at positions 28 to 507 of the family's 1533-position model. The record is from RNAcentral.